CCUGCUGCCUUCCGUAGGAGUUUGGUCCGUGUCUCAGUACCAAUGUGGGGGGUUGACCUCUCAGUCCCCCUAUGUAUCGUCGCCUUGGUGAGCCGUUACCUCACCAACUAGCUAAUACAACGCAUGUCCAUCUCUGACCACCUGAGUUUUCAACCACCGAAGAUGCCUCCGGUGAUGUUAUGGGGUAUUAGUACCAAUUUCUCGAUGUUAUCCCCCUGUCAAAGGUAGGUUACAUACGCGUUACGCACCCGUCCGCCGGUCGCCGG
This 266-nucleotide ribosomal RNA is filed under the name uncultured bacterium. Its description in RNAcentral is "partial 16S ribosomal RNA". The record is from RNAcentral.